GCUCUCCAAAAAUAUAGCAGUGCUUUCAGGAAAUAUGAUAGAGUGUGGGUUCCAAUUACCCCUGCCACAGAAACGUCUGAAUCCACUGUUAAAAUUCAAAAAGAGAAUGUUGCAGUAUGUUGUGAUUCUUCAUCAACUCUUUCAAAAUUGCAUAGUGCUGCCGAUAAUGAAAGCAACUCAAAUUCCAUUUCAUUUCAUAGCCUGCAUCCACAAUUCAUUGGUUAUACCCGUGGGAAGCUACAUGAAUUGGUAAUGAAAUCUUAUAAGAGCCGGGAGUUCGCUGCUG
This 286-nucleotide unclassified non-coding RNA is filed under the name Hevea brasiliensis (rubber tree). Lineage: Eukaryota; Viridiplantae; Streptophyta; Magnoliopsida; Malpighiales; Euphorbiaceae. The record is from RNAcentral.